RNAcentral lists this ribosomal RNA (253 nucleotides) under uncultured bacterium. Its description in RNAcentral is "partial 16S ribosomal RNA". It matches the Rfam family "Bacterial small subunit ribosomal RNA", at positions 524 to 776 of the family's 1533-position model. The record is from RNAcentral.
UACGUAGGGUGCAAGCGUUACUCGGAAUUACUGGGCGUAAAGCGUGCGUAGGUGGUUUGUUAAGUCUGUUGUGAAAGCCCCGGGCUCAACCUGGGAAUGGCAAUGGAUACUGGCAGGCUAGAGUGCGGUAGAGGGUAGUGGAAUUCCCGGUGUAGCGGUGAAAUGCGUAGAGAUCGGGAGGAACACCGAUGGCGAAGGCAGCUCGCUGGGACGUUACUGACACUAAGGCGCGAAAGCGUGGGGAGCGAACAGG